Molecule: ribosomal RNA, 497 nt
Filed under: uncultured bacterium
Lineage: Bacteria
Description: partial 16S ribosomal RNA
Rfam family: Bacterial small subunit ribosomal RNA
Source: RNAcentral
GAUGAACGCUGGCGGCGUGCCUAAUACAUGCAAGUCGAGCGAACAGACGAGGAGCUUGCUCCUCUGACGUUAGCGGCGGACGGGUGAGUAACACGUGGAUAACCUACCUAUAAGACUGGGCUAACUUCGAGAAACCGGAGCUAAUACCGGGUAAUAUAUUGAACCGCAUGGUUCAAUAGUGAAAGACGGUUUUGCUGUCACUUAUAGAUGGAUCCGCGCCGCAUUAGCUAGUUGGUAAGGUAACGGCUUACCAAGGCAACGAUGCGUAGCCGACCUGAGAGGGUGAUCGGCCACACUGGAACUGAGACACGGUCCAGACUCCUACGGGAGGCAGCAGUAGGGAAUCUUCCGCAAUGGGCGAAAGCCUGACGGAGCAACGCCGCGUGAGUGAUGAAGGUCUUCGGAUCGUAAAACUCUGUUAUUAGGGAAGAACAAAUGUGUAAGUAACUAUGCACGUCGUGACGGUACCUAAUCAGAAAGCCACGGCUAACUACGUG